Molecule: small nuclear RNA, 82 nt
Filed under: Chelonoidis abingdonii (Abingdon island giant tortoise)
Lineage: Eukaryota; Metazoa; Chordata; Testudines; Testudinidae
Description: U4 spliceosomal RNA (ENSCABG00000020996.1)
Rfam family: U4 spliceosomal RNA
About the family: U4 small nuclear RNA (U4 snRNA) is a component of the major U2-dependent spliceosome. The structure of U4 snRNA from yeast and human has been reported.
Source: RNAcentral
AACUUUGCGCAGUGGCAGUAUCAUAACCAAUGAAGUUAAUCUGAGGUGUGAUUAUUGCUAGUUGAAAACUUUUCCCAAGGGA